AUACGGAGGGUGCAAGCGUUAAUCGGAAUUACUGGGCGUAAAGCGUACGUAGGCGGUUCGUUAAGUUAGAUGUGAAAGCCCCGGGCUUAACCUGGGAACUGCAUUUAAAACUGGCGAACUAGAGUUGAGUAGAGGGGAGUGGAAUUUCAGGUGUAGCGGUGAAAUGCGUAGAGAUCUGAAGGAACACCAGUGGCGAAGGCGACUCCAUGGACUCGAACUGACGCUGAGGUACGAAAGCGUGGGUAGCAAACGGGAUUAGAAACCCUAGUAGUCC
Molecule: ribosomal RNA, 274 nt
Filed under: uncultured bacterium
Lineage: Bacteria
Description: partial 16S ribosomal RNA
Rfam family: Bacterial small subunit ribosomal RNA
Source: RNAcentral